Molecule: unclassified non-coding RNA, 489 nt
Filed under: Hevea brasiliensis (rubber tree)
Lineage: Eukaryota; Viridiplantae; Streptophyta; Magnoliopsida; Malpighiales; Euphorbiaceae
Source: RNAcentral
AACCAAAGAUGGGCGAUGCAUUGCUUUUCUGGAGCAUGAAACCUGACGCCUCUCUGGAUCCUUCGAGCCUGCAUGGUGGUUGCGCAGUGAUUAAAGGGAAUAAGUGGUCAGCUACCAAGUGGAUGCGUGUGAAUGAGUACAAAGUCUGAACUAUACUCUUAAAGUUAAUUGUAUGACUAAACAUCUGAAUUGUAAUAUGCCACUCCUGAGAGCGAGCACCAGCACCAACGGACGCUGAGUAGGCGUGUAACCUACUUGUAUACAGCUGAGCAUAAAUUUUGAUAUUCCACCGUUGGGAGCCUUUCAUUGGAUAGUUUUAUUUACGGUAAAUCAGAAUUAGGUUGAGCAUUUGAGUUGCUGAUACAGAAAUGCUCAUGUCCUAAUUUGUAACUGAGAUUAUAUUUGUUUUGUCCAAUAAUAAAUUUCUAUGGAAGUAUUUGUUUUAUCCAUUAAUACAUUUUUGUGGAAGACAAUGGCUCCCCCUUUUUA